GCAGGGCUGAAUACUGUGGGGUUUUUUAUCAGUGGUUUACAUAGCCAGACACCAUUCUAAAAAAAGAAAAAAAGCAGUCUUCCCUUUAAAGUGGUUAUGGUUAUAAUCAUAUGCUAAGUUUUUUUCAUAGCAUAUCAUUAUUAAAGGUAAAUACAAAG
Molecule: small nucleolar RNA, 158 nt
Organism: Lagenorhynchus albirostris (white-beaked dolphin)
Lineage: Eukaryota; Metazoa; Chordata; Mammalia; Artiodactyla; Delphinidae
Product: small nucleolar RNA SNORA15
Exons: 1
Source: RefSeq, a predicted model, not a curated record